Molecule: ribosomal RNA, 988 nt
Filed under: Sinodendron rugosum
Lineage: Eukaryota; Metazoa; Arthropoda; Insecta; Coleoptera; Lucanidae
Description: partial 16S ribosomal RNA
Source: RNAcentral
UUAUUAAAAGUUUUAUAUAAAAAUUUUCCCGAAUUUAGAAGAGUUAAGAAAUAAUAAAUUUUAUUGUAAAAUAAAUAUUUAUGAUUAUUUUUUGGUAAUGAAACGUUAUUCGUUUCUAAUUAUAUCUGGUUUUCUAAGAAAUUAAUUUAAUUAAUUGUUCAGUUGAUAAAUUUAAUAUUUAGUUAUUAGGUUUUUGAAGAACAAAAAUUCUUUAAGGGAUAAGCUUUAAUGAAUAUUAAUAUAAAAUAAAUAGUUUUACAAAUUUUAUAUGAUUAUAAGUUUUUAUUAUUAUGAGUGUGUUAUAACUAAAUUUGUAUUGAUUUUAUUUAUAUUAUUUUUAUAUAUUUUAUUAGAAUUUUAAAUUUAAUGAUUUAUUUUAUGCAAUAAUGAUUAAAUUAGUAUAUAUAAUUGUAUAACUAGAAAGGAGUUUGAGAUGAUAUAAAGGAAUUCGGCAAAUAAAUUUUCGCCUGUUUAUUAAAAACAUGUCUUUUUGAUAAUGAUUUAAGGUUUAACCUGCCCACUGAGUUUUAAAUGGCCGCGGUAAUUUGACCGUGCGAAGGUAGCAUAAUAAUUAGUUUUUUGAUUGGGAACUGGAAUGAAUGGUUGGACGAGAAAUUUACUGUCUCUAUAUUAUUAUUAGAAUUUUAUAUUUAAGUAAAAAAGCUUAAAUAAAUUUAAAAGACGAGAAGACCCUAUAGAGUUUGAUAUUUAAUUAAUUUUUAAUAUGUGGAAUUACAAAUUUUAUUUUGAGAUGAUAUUUUGUUGGGGUGAUAGAAAAAUUUAGUUAACUUUUUUUGUUUAUAAUCAUUAAUUUAUGAAUAAUUGAUCCGUUUUUUGCGAUUAUAAGAUUAAAUUACCUUAGGGAUAACAGCGUAAUCUUUUUUGAGAGUUCAUAUCGAAAAAAUGGAUUGCGACCUCGAUGUUGGAUUAAAAUUAAUUGUUGGUGUAGAGGCUUAAAUAAUUAGGUCUGUUCGACCUUUAAAAUUUU